RNAcentral lists this ribosomal RNA (1088 nucleotides) under Psychrobacter sp. Cantas17. RNAcentral describes it as "bacterial SSU rRNA". It matches the Rfam family "Bacterial small subunit ribosomal RNA", at positions 364 to 1450 of the family's 1533-position model. The record is from RNAcentral. Lineage: Bacteria; Pseudomonadati; Pseudomonadota; Gammaproteobacteria; Moraxellales; Moraxellaceae.
UUGGAAUGGGGGAAACCCUGAUCCAGCCAUGCCGCGUGUGUGAAGGCCUUUUUGGUUGUAAAGCACUUUAAGCAGUGAAGAAGACUCUUCGGUUAAUACCCGGAGACGAUGACAUUAGCUGCAGAAUAAGCACCGGCUAACUCUGUGCCAGCAGCCGCGGUAAUACAGAGGGUGCAAGCGUUAAUCGGAAUUACUGGGCGUAAAGCGAGCGUAGGUGGCUUGAUAAGUCAGAUGUGAAAUCCCCGGGCUUAACCUGGGAACUGCAUCUGAAACUGUUAGGCUAGAGUAGGUGAGAGGGAAGUAGAAUUUCAGGUGUAGCGGUGAAAUGCGUAGAGAUCUGAAGGAAUACCGAUGGCGAAGGCAGCUUCCUGGCAUCAUACUGACACUGAGGCUCGAAAGCGUGGGUAGCAAACAGGAUUAGAUACCCUGGUAGUCCACGCCGUAAACGAUGUCUACUAGUCGUUGGGUCCCUUGAGGACUUAGUGACGCAGCUAACGCAAUAAGUAGACCGCCUGGGGAGUACGGCCGCAAGGUUAAAACUCAAAUGAAUUGACGGGGGCCCGCACAAGCGGUGGAGCAUGUGGUUUAAUUCGAUGCAACGCGAAGAACCUUACCUGGUCUUGACAUAUCUAGAAUCCUGCAGAGAUGCGGGAGUGCCUUCGGGAAUUAGAAUACAGGUGCUGCAUGGCUGUCGUCAGCUCGUGUCGUGAGAUGUUGGGUUAAGUCCCGCAACGAGCGCAACCCUUGUCCUUAGUUACCAGCGGGUUAAGCCGGGAACUCUAAGGAUACUGCCAGUGACAAACUGGAGGAAGGCGGGGACGACGUCAAGUCAUCAUGGCCCUUACGACCAGGGCUACACACGUGCUACAAUGGUAGGUACAGAGGGCAGCUACACAGCGAUGUGAUGCGAAUCUCAAAAAGCCUAUCGUAGUCCAGAUUGGAGUCUGCAACUCGACUCCAUGAAGUAGGAAUCGCUAGUAAUCGCGGAUCAGAAUGCCGCGGUGAAUACGUUCCCGGGCCUUGUACACACCGCCCGUCACACCAUGGGAGUUGAUUGCACCAGAAGUGGAUAGCUAACCUCGGGAGGC